GAAAGACAUGCAUUUAAGACGUGAAAAUUAUUUUUCUGCUUAAAAGUGCAAGUGAGUAGUUAAAGUUGGUGAUCAAACUAGUUGAUGAUCAGUGCAGAUGUGUGUUGAAAUGUUUGGCCAGAAAGAUGUUCCGCCCCUCUUCUGUUUUCUUUAUAAAGACCUAAAGUGCCAAUGACUGCAUUUCAUCAGACCAGCAUCUGUGCAAAGCUUACAAAAAUGAAAUCUUUGGCUCUGGUUUUGGUAUUUUGUGCCUUUGUCUCUUUAAGUGAUUCUGCCUGCUCCAUCACACCUCUAAACCAAGGGGCAAGAUUUUGUGUCGAUCGCUAUGAUAAAUCCAGGCAUCCAAUGGGAAGUACUUGGACAAACAGCAAAUGUAUCAGAUGUACCUGCUCCCCUGGGCAAAUGGGAUGCUGUGACGUGUUGGGCCGAGUGACUAGCCUAUCUCAAGGCUGCAUUGUGGAGUAUGAUUACAAAAAAUGCACAUUUGACGUGAUGGGCCGAGUGACUAACCUAUCUCAAGGCUGCAUUGUGAAGUAUGAUUACAAAAAAUGCACAUUUGACGUCUUUAAUCCAACUAACCCCAACAUUAAGUGUUCUUAUGGUGCUGUUGGAAAAUAAUUUUCAAUGAUUGAGUAAUGUGUCCUUUUUGGAUUAAAAUGAAUACCAAUCAAUUUUUGGAAAAAAACUAACAUAUUUUGCCAGUUUUACUCAAUAAAAUUGAGGCAACUCCUUGCA
Long non-coding RNA from Cyprinus carpio (common carp), 735 nucleotides. Lineage: Eukaryota; Metazoa; Chordata; Actinopteri; Cypriniformes; Cyprinidae. The record is from Ensembl.